GAUGAACGCUGGCGGCGUGCCUAACACAUGCAAGUCGAACGAGAGAGGAAGGUGCUUGCACCAUCCAAUCGAGUGGCGGACGGGUGAGUAACGCGUGGGUAACCUGCCUCAUACAGGGGGAUAACAACUGGAAACGGUUGAUAAUACCGCAUAAGCGCACAGCAUCGCAUGAUGCAGUGUGAAAAACUCCGGUGGUAUGAGAUGGACCCGCGUCUGAUUAGCCAGUUGGCGGGGUAACGGCCCACCAAAGCGACGAUCAGUAGGGGUUCUGAGAGGAAGGUCCCCCACAUUGGUACUGAGACACGGACCAAACUCC
RNAcentral lists this ribosomal RNA (316 nucleotides) under uncultured Clostridia bacterium. RNAcentral's name for it is "bacterial SSU rRNA". It matches the Rfam family "Bacterial small subunit ribosomal RNA", at positions 28 to 339 of the family's 1533-position model. Lineage: Bacteria; Bacillati; Bacillota; Clostridia. The record is from RNAcentral.